AUGCAUAUGGUCACCCAUACUCAAUCUGGACCCGACCUGACCUAUUCUCGAUCCAUACCCGGUCUUAAGCGGGUAUUAUAUGGGUAGUCACUAUCCAAAACAGCUCAAAUAAACCUAAUGGGUACAUUAUUAACUCAAGUAUCCAGACAUGUACAUGAUUCGAAUUUAAAUAGGUAGGGUAUAUUUUUUUUGGUAUCCAUUUCUUUUUAGGGUAUGAGUCCCGGUCAACGGAAAUCUUUACUAAAACUAAAUUUUGUAUUCUACAUUUCUAAAAUAUUAUUAUAAAAUUUAAAUUAUGUAAUUUUUUUUAUCUAUAACUUCUUUUAUGAUUUAUAUUGUAUAUAUUAAAUAUAAAUUUUAAUUUUAUAAUAUUGAUUAGUUAAAAAUAUAUUAUACAGUAAAAGAUCAGAGAG
RNAcentral lists this long non-coding RNA (413 nucleotides) under Ananas comosus (pineapple). RNAcentral's name for it is "long non-coding RNA (ACOM_LNC008438)". The record is from RNAcentral. Lineage: Eukaryota; Viridiplantae; Streptophyta; Magnoliopsida; Poales; Bromeliaceae.